RNAcentral lists this ribosomal RNA (3492 nucleotides) under Hericium rajendrae. RNAcentral's name for it is "large subunit ribosomal RNA". It matches the Rfam family "Bacterial large subunit ribosomal RNA". The record is from RNAcentral. Lineage: Eukaryota; Fungi; Basidiomycota; Agaricomycetes; Russulales; Hericiaceae.
CAGAGUAUUUCAAAGGAAUUAUUAAGGAUAACUAGCAAAUUUAUAACAAAAGGAGGAGUAAUCCAAAAGCCAUAAAUUUAGUAAAAAGUGAAUAUUAAUAGUAUUCAUUAAAUAUUAAAUAUAAAAUAUUAUGGCGAUCCUAAGGGAAACCUUAACUAUAAACACUUCCUGAAGCAAAACAUUGUAUUAGGGAAAGGAAAGGAAAUCAACCGAGACUCCGAAAGUAAUGGUGAGUGAAAUCGGAUUAGCCUAAAAAAGAAGUAAUUUGAAUAGAAUAAUUAUUAAUACAAUAAUUAUAUUUUAAUUUAAUAACAAUUAAAUUAAUUUAUUUUAAAUUUAUUAUAAAUAUUCUAAUAUAUACCUAAAUAGUAUGUAUCCAAAGAAGGUAUAAAGUCCUGUAAAAUUAUUUCUUUAAAUACAAAAACAAGUACGAUGAGAGAAACCUUGUCGGAAUAUAGGGGUACCAUCCUCUAAGGCUAAGUAUUAUAAAUUUAGCGAUAGUGAAAAGUACUGUAAAGGAAAAGUUGAAAAGAAAGUUGUAUAACAAAGUGAAAUAGACUUGAAUUAGUAAUUCUAUAAGCAGUCGAAGUUUUAAAACAAAAUGACGGCGUACCUUUUGCAUAAUGGGUCAGCAAGUUAAUGGGAGUAGCAAGGUUAAAAGCCCUAGCGAAAGCGACUAGACUAAUAGUUUUUAAUAUUAUUAUUAAAAUAUUUUUAUUAAUUAAAAAUAGGAUAAUUUCCUUAAUAAUUUAUUUAUUAAUUUAAAAAAUUAAAAAGUGGAUUAUUUACUAAAAAUUAGUGUUGGAUAAGUUACUUCUAUUAGACCCGAAGCCAGUUGAUCUUUCCAAGACCAGAUUAUAAUGGAUCGAACGGGUGAAUGUUGCAUAAUUCUCCGAAGAGUUUUGGAAAGCGGUGAAAUGCCAAUCUGAACUGGUGAUAGCUGGUUUUCUACGAAACAUAUUUAAGUAUGACAUCUAUUCAAAAUUUAUGGAGGUACAGCACGGUAAUUCCCAACUAAUAAUAAAUUGAAUAAUUUCAACUUUAUUAAGCGUUUAGGUUGCGGGGACCUCGAAAAUCUUACCAAUGGAAGCGAAACUCGGAAUUACAUAAAUUGUUGAUAGAUAUUCAGACUGCUCAUGCUAAGUUGGGUAGUCAAGACGGAAACAGCCGAGAACAAGGAUCAAGGUCCCUAAUGAUUAUUAAGUGAAAUUAAGGAAGUAACAAAUUGAAUGCAGCUGUAAAGUGAGCCUGGUAGUCGCUAUCUUUUAAUGACCGUUGUAACAACGUAGCAGCCCUUAGAUUGUUGCGCCGAAAAUUUAACGGGUCUAAAUGAUCAACCGAUAUCUUGUUGAUUAUGAAUAUUAUAAAACAAAAACAUUUUAUUCUUAAUCUAGGUAGUAGAACAUUCAGUCUAACUAAUGAAAAACAGUGUUUCAUUGUUUUGAGGUAACUGAAGAGAGAAUGCUGACAUGAGUAACGUAAAAAGAAGUUAUAAUACUUCUCGCCGAAUACGAAAGGGUUGUAAAGAAAGGUUAAACCUCUUUAUGUUAAUGCGGCCUCUAAGGUUUAAAGCGAAAGCUUUAACUGAUGAGUAAAACACUGAAAGUCCAUAUGGAAAUGGACCAGGAAAAAUAAGUGUUAAAUUUAAUAACUAAAUUUAUUAAACUAAAAAUAGUAUUAAAAUAUAAACUACCGUACCCUAAACCGACACAGGUUCGUAGGUAGAGUAUACUAAGGCGAAGAGCUAAAAGUUGUUAAGGAACUCGGCAAGUUCUCCUGCAUCAUAAGUUUGACAAUAAGAGGAACCAUUAAUAAUAAUAUUAGCCAUAAUAUUAUUUAAUUAAAGGUAUAAUAAAAUCGGAGGCCCCGACUGUUUACUAAAAACACAAUUCAGAGCAAUGAUUAAUAUCAUAGUAUUCUGGAUGAAAUUUGCCCAAUGCCAUUAAUAUAAGAGAGGUAAUAGGUAACUGUUACUAAUCGAAAGUCUGGUUAAUAGCGGUCUUAACUAUGAGGAUCCAAAGGUAGCAAAAUAAAUUGGCCAUUAAAUGUGGUCUUGUAUCAAUAAUGUAACGAUGGUCUCACUGUCUCUACAACUUGCUCAGUGAAAUUGAAUUACCCGUGCAGAUGCGGGUUACCUCCAGGGGGACGGGAAGACCCUAUGCAGCUUUACUGUAGUUAGUUAUCAUAUUGAUUAUGAAUUUAAUUAAUAGUAAUUAGGUAUGUCGAGAGACGAUAAUUGGAAAACCUUAGAAUUAAAUUUGGAUCAAUGUUCACCUUAUUUUUUUAAAGGGAGAGUUGACUAAUUGGCAGUUUGACUGGGGCGGUCGUCUUUAAUAAAGUAGCAAAGUACAUCCAAAUAUUUCAUUUUUAUAAAUAUCUAUUUAUUUUUUUAAUAAUUAGAAUAUACACACAAAAAAUUUUUUGUUAAAACAGUUUAAUUUUAUAAUUUUAUUUUUUUUAUAAGGUAUGCUAGAAAUUGAAUGGAGAUCAAUUAACCAGUGAAAGGUUAUGGAGAGCGUAAUGGCGGAAAGCAUGCUUAACUGAAAGACUUAGAAGUCGUACAGAUACGUAAGUAGGGCAUAGUGACCCCUCGCUAUAAUAUGGAAUAGACGGGGAUCAAUCGAUAAAAGUUACGCUAGGGAUAACAGGCUGAUAGCCGGCGAGAGUACACAUUGUCCCGGCUGUUUGGCACCUUAAAUUAUUUUGUAUAAUUUUUUAUAUAAAUCGGGGAUUUUAAAUAGUAAUAUUUAAUUAGAAGUUGGCUAUAUGCUGGAACCCCCUUAGAGCUUUAAAUACUAUUACUUUUUUUAAUUUUUAAUUUAAAUAAUAAUAAUAAAAAAAAUUUACAGUGAAAAUUUUAAAGAUUGGGCAAUCAGCAGGGAAGUUAUUUAGAAUAAGUAAUAGCUACUGUUAAAACUAUCUAACCCCUCAACGACUAUACGCCAACAUCCAGAUGCUUAAUUAAUUGUAUUCUUAAUGCUGGAUGAAGAUAUAGUCUAAACUUAUCUGAAAAGUUAAGAAUUUUAGUUUAGAAUUAAAUUAAAACAAAUAGCGAUGUCGACUCAUCCUAUCCUCCGGGGGAAGAAGCUUGGAAGGGUUCGGCUGUUCGCCGAUUAAAAGGGUACGCGAGUUGGGUUUAAUACGACGUGAGUCAGUAUGGUCCCUAUCUUCUGGAGGGAUAAAUAGUAAAAAGGGGCAGACCUUCUAGUACGAAAGGAUCAAUAGGCUGUGUUUCUCUAGUGUACCAAUUGUUGAAAAUAAAAUAAUUUUAUUAGUAUGCAUAGUUGGGUAGCCACAAACAUAAUAGAUAAGCGCUGAAUGUAUAUUAAGCAAGAAACUAACCCCUAGAUACUAUCAUCAGUUUAUUGUUAAUAAUAUUUUUUAUUAUUUUUAAGCUGAUUUUAUAAGAAAUAGAACAUUUCUAAAUAGGAUGCAAAUGAAAAUAUUGUGAAGUAUUUAGUUUAGCAUUACUAAUUUAUUAAAUAGACUUGA